RNAcentral lists this ribosomal RNA (497 nucleotides) under uncultured bacterium. Its description in RNAcentral is "partial 16S ribosomal RNA". It matches the Rfam family "Bacterial small subunit ribosomal RNA", at positions 28 to 507 of the family's 1533-position model. The record is from RNAcentral.
GAUGAACGCUGGCGGCGUGCCUAAUACAUGCAAGUCGAGCGAACAGACGAGGAGCUUGCUCCUCUGACGUUAGCGGCGGACGGGUGAGUAACACGUGGAUAACCUACCUAUAAGACUGGGAUAACUUCGGGAAACCGGAGCUAAUACCGGAUAAUAUAUUGAACCGCAUGGUUCAAUAGUGAAAGACGGUUUUGCUGUAACUUAUAGAUGGAUCCGCGCCGCAUUAGCUAGUUGGUAAGGUAACGGCUUAUCAAGGCAACGAUGCGUAGCCGACCUGAGAGGGUGAUCGGCCACACUGGAACUGAGACACGGUCCAGACUCCUACGGGAGGCAGCAGUAGGGAAUCUUCCGCAAUGGGCGAAAGCCUGACGGAGCAACGCCGCGUGAGUGAUGAAGGUCUUCGGAGCGUAAAACUCUGUUAUUAGGGAAGAACAAAUGUGUAAGUAACUAUGCACGUCUUGACGGUACCUAAUCAGAAAGCCACGGCUAACUACGUG